Parus major (Great Tit) is the source of this 2133-nucleotide long non-coding RNA. The record is from Ensembl. Lineage: Eukaryota; Metazoa; Chordata; Aves; Passeriformes; Paridae.
GGCUACUCAGGGAUCUCUGGAACUGCAUGUUUGCAUGGGACUGCUCCAGACUGCCUGGAUUCCACACACCCCUGCAAUAUAAACAUUAGUUAAACAGAAUAAUGGAUUACUAAUUGUCACUGAGGCCACCAUACAUAUUGAUCUGGAAUCCACCUACAUUUAAGGACAGCGCAAGAAAACACUGGAAUUUUUUUGGUCUUCUAACAAAGAAGCAUUAGAUGGGUGAAAUAUAUUUUAGCCUCAUAACAUAUUCAUUGCAAAUGUGGGGUCCCACUGAAUCCCUCCCAAAAUCACCAGGAAAGCUCUUUAAGAGAAGCAGAGCCCAGUCCUUGGUGAGGCAGUGGCCUCCACAACUGUAUCAGAAACCAGAUUUCAGCCUUGUUCUCAAACCCAACUUCUGUUGAUGCUGAUGGAAUUUUGGCCAGAGCAAAGAUCACAGUGUUUGUCCUGCAACUUGCACAGCUAGCUUGAAGGUUUUCUUCUUCCUGCCAUCCAAAGCUUCUUGGGAUUAGUCAGGACUGAUAUUGAUGUAUGAACAUCUUAAAAGGACUGUACAUAGCUCCCAGGCUGAAGACUAAACAUUGCUGCGUAAAACAGAAUUUGGCAGUGAUUCUAUAGGAUGAACCUAAUCAGAGCCGACAGAUUAUAAUACAUGGUAAAGGCAUGGAGUUGAAAAGAAAAAAGGACUUGCUCUGCAGCAUUGCAUAAUACAUUCUGGAGAAACUAGAAAACCUUUCAGAGCAGCUGGGACAGAGGGAAAUGUACCAUUUGUUCCCAAGUGAAAUAAACAAAAGAAGGAAAUGCUCCAAACUGCCUCCAAACUAGGAAAGGAAUGGUGGUGAGAAAAGUGACCAGAGCCUGAACCAAGCUAUUCACAUUGUCCAGCUCCUGACAGUAGCUCUGUUUCAAGUGCACAGGCCCAGGUCUCCUCACCCCCUGGUCAGUCCUGGUGAGCCACAGACCUCUGCAAGGGAAUGCAGCCUUUGGCAGACGUCACUGGAUGCCUGCAGUGUAGCACCAGCCAACACAGCUGCUCUGGUUUUGAGUCCUGGAAUGUCAUCUGAUGAAGGAAAGAAUCAAAGCAGCCCCUUCUUGCUCCAUAUCACCUGCACUGCUCUGGACGUGACCAAGAAGACAUUCCAGGCACCUGAGAUGAGUUUGGCUGAGAAAGAUGACAACCAACUCCAUGAAGAAAGAGAGCACAAAACUGACUCCUGGUACCUGCUUGACAAGAGUGUGAAUUCUUCACAUCAUUCCUCUCCUUUUAAGACUUAAAGUUAGGGACCAUUCUGACAUUUUGAUUCAUGUAAGAAAACUGCUAACUUGAACUCCAGAACCUGAAAGAAAGCCAGCAACCAUCUUGUCCAGGCUUGUUGCCUUUAUAGAACAUCUCUCAAUAUUUUAUAUUUCUGACUUAAUGCCAGAACUCCUUUCCCCUUCAAAACAGAACCAAAACAAGGUUCUUGUUUCAGUAAUAGCAAUGUGAGUUAGUCUGAAACUCUAAUCAUGUUGCCUUUCUGGGGAAAUCUUACUGAAAACUUAGGAGAUAAAUUGUCCAUUCUUUUAUAAAGCCUUGUAUUCAGAGCCAGUGAAUUGAGGCAGAGGGACAAUUGUGGCAAUUGACACAUGGAUCCUGAUUCUCAUUUAUUCAGUCCCCUUCUCAGUGCAGACUGGAAAAGCUCAGUUCUCAAGAUGAGCAGCUAAACCACUGGGCAUGCCCUGAGGGACACACCUGGAGCUCUUGAGAGUGACUGUGUGCAAUAACACCACCUAAUCUCUCUUGGAAAUGGACUCAACUCAAUCAGACCUUUCUGUGGCACACUUCUGGUCAGCAGACUGCUCCAGAACCUCCUUCAAGUACUUAAGCAUCUUCACCUAAUUUCCAGAGGAAAAAGAAAAUCUCUACAGUGAGCAUGUAACAAUUUCUUCCUGCCUUAGUUUGGUUUUUUAUUAAAAAAUUGCCUCCCCCAACUAUACCACUGACCCUGCUAUACUCAAUUUCUACAGCCAUGUUCCCUCUUAUGUGUCAGAAUGAGCAGAUUUAUGUUCUUGAGUUUCUGGAUUUAAAAUAAUCUGCAUGUCCAGAGCUGUACACAUGUGUGUCAUGGUGUGUUCUCACUUCUUACUGGUUCU